RNAcentral lists this ribosomal RNA (701 nucleotides) under uncultured Oscillatoriales cyanobacterium. Its description in RNAcentral is "bacterial SSU rRNA". It matches the Rfam family "Bacterial small subunit ribosomal RNA", at positions 94 to 825 of the family's 1533-position model. Lineage: Bacteria; Bacillati; Cyanobacteriota; Cyanophyceae; Oscillatoriales. The record is from RNAcentral.
AGUAGCGGACGGGUGAGUAACGCGUGAGAAUCUGGCUUCAGGAGGGGGACAACAGUUGGAAACGACUGCUAAUACCCCAUAUGUCUACGGAUGAAACGGUGAAUUCCGCCUGAAGAUGAGCUCGCGUCGGAUUAGCUAGUUGGUGAGGUAAAGGCUCACCAAGGCGACGAUCCGUAGCUGGUCUGAGAGGAUGAUCAGCCACACUGGGACUGAGACACGGCCCAGACUCCUACGGGAGGCAGCAGUGGGGAAUUUUCCGCAAUGGGCGAAAGCCUGACGGAGCAACGCCGCGUGCGGGAAGACGGCCUGUGGGUUGUAAACCGCUUUUCUCUGGGAAGAAUAAGUUGACGGUACCAGAGGAAUCAGCAUCGGCUAACUCCGUGCCAGCAGCCGCGGUAAUACGGAGGAUGCAAGCGUUAUCCGGAAUUACUGGGCGUAAAGCGUCCGCGGGCGGCUUAUCAAGUCUGCUGUUAAAGGUCGGAGCUCAACUCCGGUUAGGCAGUGGAAACUGAUAGGCUAGAGUGUGGUAGGGGUAGAGGGAAUUCCCAGUGUAGCGGUGAAAUGCGUAGAUAUUGGGAAGAACAUCGGUGGCGAAAGCGCCUUGCUGGGUCUGCACUGACACUGAGGGACGAAAGCUAGGGGAGCGAAAGGGAUUAGAUACCCCUGUAGUCCUAGCCGUAAACGAUGGAUACUAGGCGUUG